AAAAAAGCCGGAAUAGCUCAGUUGGUAGAGC
RNAcentral lists this transfer RNA (31 nucleotides) under Sanionia uncinata. RNAcentral's name for it is "partial tRNA-Phe". Lineage: Eukaryota; Viridiplantae; Streptophyta; Bryopsida; Hypnales; Amblystegiaceae. The record is from RNAcentral.